AAGGUGGCUGAGGAAUCCUUUGGAUUCUUCAGCCUUGACUUUCAAGGUAGAAUUGCUCUGGAGUGAUUCUCAACAGGAAACAAUUCAAUUAUCUCAAAAGUCCUUACAAGAUGUGUUAGCAUGCAUAUAUAUAGGUCUAAAUGUACCACAUGCCUAACACAUUGUACACAUGUCUAUUACAAAUAAAAGGAAAUACUAGGCUAAGGAAAUUGGGCUUGGGCCCAAGUCAUCAUG
Molecule: long non-coding RNA, 234 nt
Filed under: Vigna radiata
Lineage: Eukaryota; Viridiplantae; Streptophyta; Magnoliopsida; Fabales; Fabaceae
Description: long non-coding RNA (VRAD_LNC011229)
Source: RNAcentral